AACGCGUGGGUGACCUGCCCCAUACCGGGGGAUAACAGCUGGAAACGGCUGCUAAUACCGCAUAAGCGCACAGAGCUGCAUGGCUCGGUGUGAAAAACUCCGGUGGUAUGGGAUGGGCCCGCGUCUGAUUAGGCAGUUGGCGGGGUAACGGCCCACCAAACCGACGAUCAGUAGCCGGCCUGAGAGGGCGACCGGCCACAUUGGGACUGAGACACGGCCCAAACUCCUACGGGAGGCAGCAGUGGGGAAUAUUGCACAAUGGGGGAAACCCUGAUGCAGCGACGCCGCGUGAGCGAAGAAGUAUUUCGGUAUGUAAAGCUCUAUCAGCAGGGAAGAUAAUGACGGUACCUGACUAAGAAGCCCCGGCUAACUACGUGCCAGCAGCCGCGGUAAUACGUAGGGGGCAAGCGUUAUCCGGAUUUACUGGGUGUAAAGGGAGCGUAGACGGCAAGGCAAGUCUAAUGUGAAAACCCAGGGCUUAACCCUGGGACUGCAUUGGAAACUGUCUGGCUCGAGUGCCGGAGAGGUAAGCGGAAUUCCUAGUGUAGCGGUGAAAUGCGUAGAUAUUAGGAAGAACACCAGUGGCGAAGGCGGCUUACUGGACGGUAACUGACGUUGAGGCUCGAAAGCGUGGGGAGCAAACAGGAUUAGAUACCCUGG
This 660-nucleotide ribosomal RNA is filed under the name uncultured bacterium. Its description in RNAcentral is "bacterial SSU rRNA". It matches the Rfam family "Bacterial small subunit ribosomal RNA", at positions 112 to 790 of the family's 1533-position model. The record is from RNAcentral.